Molecule: ribosomal RNA, 465 nt
Filed under: uncultured bacterium
Lineage: Bacteria
Description: partial 16S ribosomal RNA
Rfam family: Bacterial small subunit ribosomal RNA
Source: RNAcentral
CUACGGGUCGCUGCAGUGGGGAAUAUUGGACAAUGGGGGAAACCCUGAUCCAGCAAUGCUGCGUGUGUGAAGAAGGCCUGCGGGUUGUAAAGCACUUUCGGUUGGGAGGACUGCUUCUAGCACUAAUAUUGUUGGAAGUUGACGUUACCUUCAGAAGAAGCACCGGCUAACUCCGUGCCAGCAGCCGCGGUAAUACGGAUGGUGCAAGCGUUAAUCGGAAUUACUGGGCGUAAAGCGCGCGUAGGCGGCUAGAUCAGUCGGGUGUGAAAGCCCCGGGCUUAACCUGGGAACUGCAUCCGAUACUGUAUAGCUUGAGUACAGGAGAGGAGAGUGGAAUUCCACAUGUAGCGGUGAAAUGCGUAGAUAUGUGGAGGAACACCAAUGGCGAAGGCAGCUCUCUGGCCUGAUACUGACGCUGAGGUGCGAAAGCGUGGGGAGCAAACAGGAUUAGAUACCCGAGUAGUC